This 492-nucleotide ribosomal RNA is filed under the name uncultured bacterium. Its description in RNAcentral is "partial 16S ribosomal RNA". It matches the Rfam family "Bacterial small subunit ribosomal RNA", at positions 29 to 507 of the family's 1533-position model. The record is from RNAcentral.
AGUGAACGCUGGCGGUAGGCCUAACACAUGCCAGUCGAACGGCAGCACAGUAAGAGCUUGCUCUUACGGGUGGCGAGUGGCGGACGGGUGAGGAAUACAUCGGAAUCUACUUUUUCGUGGGGGAUAACGUAGGGAAACUUACGCUAAUACCGCAUACGACCUACGGGUGAAAGCAGGGGAUCUUCGGACCUUGCGCGAUUGAAUGAGCCGAUGUCGGAUUAGCUAGUUGGCGGAGUAAAGGCCCACCAAGGCGACGAUCCGUAGCUGGUCUGAGAGGAUGAUCAGCCACACUGGAACUGAGACACGGUCCAGACUCCUACGGGAGGCAGCAGUGGGGAAUAUUGGACAAUGGGCGCAAGCCUGAUCCAGCCAUACCGCGUGGGUGAAGAAGGCCUUCGGGUUGUAAAGCCCUUUUGUUGGGAAAGAAAAGCAGCAGGUUAAUACCCCGCUGUUCUGACGGUACCCAAAGAAUAAGCACCGGCUAACUUCGUG